GUGGGAGGGCAUACCACCCUGAAGGGGCCUGAUCUCCUCUGAUCUUGGAAGCUAAGCAGGGUCGGGCCUGGUUAGUACUGGGAUGGGAGUCCACUUUAAUUUUCAAUGAUUUACUAACA
Cricetulus griseus (Chinese hamster) is the source of this 119-nucleotide ribosomal RNA. Lineage: Eukaryota; Metazoa; Chordata; Mammalia; Rodentia; Cricetidae. The record is from Ensembl.